Molecule: ribosomal RNA, 460 nt
Filed under: uncultured bacterium
Lineage: Bacteria
Description: partial 16S ribosomal RNA
Rfam family: Bacterial small subunit ribosomal RNA
Source: RNAcentral
CCUACGGGUGGCAGCAGUGAGGAAUAUUGGUCAAUGGACGAGAGUCUGACCCAGCCAAGUAGCGUGAAGGAUGACUGCCCUAUGGGUUGUAAACUUCUUUUAUAAAGGAAUAAAACGAGGCACGUGUGCCUUUUUGCAUGUACUUUAUGAAUAAGGAUCGGCUAACUCCGUGCCAGCAGCCGCGGUAAUACGGAGGAUCCGAGCGUUAUCCGGAUUUAUGGGGUUUAAAGGGAGCGUAGAUGGGGUGUUAAGUCAGUUGUGAAAGUUUGCGGCUCAACCGUAAAAUUGCAAUUGCUAAUGGCAGUCUUGAGUACAGUUGAGGUAGGCGGAAUUCGUGGUGUAGCGGUGAAAUGCUUAGAUAUCACGAAGAACCACGAUUGCGAAGGCAGCUUACGAAACUGUGACUGACAUUGAUGCUCGAAAGUGUGGGUAUCAAACAGGAUUAGAUACCCGAGUAGUC